Molecule: ribosomal RNA, 346 nt
Filed under: uncultured bacterium
Lineage: Bacteria
Description: bacterial SSU rRNA
Rfam family: Bacterial small subunit ribosomal RNA
Source: RNAcentral
GACGAACGCUGGCGGAAUGCUUUACACAUGCAAGUCGAACGGCAGCACGGGGGCAACCCUGGUGGCGAGUGGCGAACGGGUGAGUAAUACACCGGAACGUGCCCAGUCGUGGGGGAUAACGUAGCGAAAGCUACGCUAAUACCGCAUACGAACUGAGGUUGAAAGCGGGGGAUCGCAAGACCUCGCGCGAUUGGAGCGGCCGAUGGCAGAUUAGGUAGUUGGUGGGGUAAAGGCUCACCAAGCCGACGAUCUGUAGCUGGUCUGAGAGGACGACCAGCCACACUGGGACUGAGACACGGCCCAGACUCCUACGGGAGGCAGCAGUGGGGAAUUUUGGACAAUGGGC